Non-coding RNA from Ixodes scapularis (black-legged tick), 82 nucleotides. NCBI's taxonomy places the organism in Eukaryota, Metazoa, Arthropoda, Arachnida, Ixodida, Ixodidae. The record is from Rfam.
GCAGUCGUGGCCGAGUGGUUAAGGCGAUGAACUAGAAAUCCAUUGGGGUCUCCCCGCACAGGUUCAGAUCCUGUCGACUGCG